Molecule: non-coding RNA, 45 nt
Filed under: Schistosoma mansoni
Lineage: Eukaryota; Metazoa; Platyhelminthes; Trematoda; Strigeidida; Schistosomatidae
Source: RNAcentral
AUCCAGCUGAUGAGUCCCAAAUAGGACGAAACUCGCAUGCUGGAU